AAUCACAAGCAGUCAACAUAUUCCAGGUUUCAAGCUUCAAACCUUGGGUUAAGAUUUAAAGAUUGACACAAUUCUUAUCUAUCAACUUUCAAUAAUAAUCUUGCGUGUGUGUGUACUGUCUCCCACUGUCAACCAAAGUAAUGUCAAGAUCCCUCUCUGAAACUACCAUUCUAAAUGCUAAGCUGUCAUUCUUUUCCUACAAUU
RNAcentral lists this long non-coding RNA (204 nucleotides) under Trifolium pratense (red clover). RNAcentral describes it as "long non-coding RNA (TPRA_LNC002895)". Lineage: Eukaryota; Viridiplantae; Streptophyta; Magnoliopsida; Fabales; Fabaceae. The record is from RNAcentral.